Molecule: non-coding RNA, 309 nt
Organism: Cinara cedri
Lineage: Eukaryota; Metazoa; Arthropoda; Insecta; Hemiptera; Aphididae
Source: the annotation of a GenBank genome assembly
UGCGUUGGCUGAUUAAAUGCAUAGAGUUUAAUUUAUAAUAUUAUUUGCUUUGGAUAUGCUGUGAUAAACUACUGCGAAUUACGUUUUUGAGCCAUGUUAAACAUAUUUUUUUAUGUUUGCUAAGUUUAAAUUGAAAACGCUAUUGAUUUAUAACAGUACGAAACAAUAAUUCAAAAUUUAUCAUGAUUUUGUUUUGCGUUUCGUCGAAAUAGCUUAAGUUUUAUUUGGCAGAAAGACACAAAUCAUUAUAACGACAAUACCCGAGACCUAUGGCGCUUAAAAUACACAUAAAAUGGCAUACAAAUUCCA